This 207-nucleotide ribosomal RNA is filed under the name uncultured bacterium. RNAcentral's name for it is "partial 16S ribosomal RNA". It matches the Rfam family "Bacterial small subunit ribosomal RNA", at positions 568 to 774 of the family's 1533-position model. The record is from RNAcentral.
CUCGUAGGCGGUCUGAUAAGUCCUGUGUGAAAUCCCUUGGCUUAACCAAGGAACUGCGCCGGAUACUGUCGGACUAGAGGCCGGGAGAGGGAAGCGGAAUUCCGAGUGUAGCGGUGAAAUGCGUAGAUAUUCGGAGGAACACCGGUGGCGAAGGCGGCUUCCUGGACCGGUUCUGACGCUGAGGGGCGAAAGCUAGGGUAGCAAACA